AGAUAUAGAGUGUGAGAGAGAAGAGUGGAGGCUGGUUCUCAGGCUCCAGAAGCAUAAGCCUGCAUGGAGCAUAGCGUCACUGAGCAAGACAGGUGUGGAGGAUGAGAAGCGGGCCACAGGAUGGGAAGGGAAUCUGUGUGGAGGCGGUGCCCUAAACAUGCUGCCUUGAGGAGGGACCUCUACAUGGGGUGGCCGGGCACAGCCAGCUUCAACUUCGAGAAUAAUUUGAAUGUUUUCAGCAUAAAGAAAAGAUAAAUGUUUAAGUUGCACAGGGUACCUCAGACCCACAUCCCAGAUGACAUUCCUCAGAAGCUCGCAGCUGGAGAUGACAUCACCUUAGACAACAUCACCCUAGCCCAAGACAUCGCUAUUAGAGAUACAUCACCUGGACACUAAAGCCUCCAACCCAGUGACACUCUCAAGGUGCUGACAAAAUGGACAUGGACAUUUGUUGCUUUUCUUCUUUUGAAUUAGGAACUCUAUUGUGUUUCCUGAAUUUACUGUCUGCUUGGCCCAUGAUCCUGGUAUGUUCCUUGCUCUCUGCCAAAACAUGCACCGUCCCCUCCACACCUAAAGGAAAACCUGGUAGAAGCUACUACUCUCAAUGCCAUUCUAAAAUUGACGAAGAGUAUUAUUUUCCCCAAGAGGCAGCUGCUGCAGGCCAGUGAAUCCUCUGGACCCUGGGGAGAGGGUCAUACACUCCCUAGUGACUUCUACUGUAUGCUCCAGCUUUCCACCAGGACCUCCUGCCCUGUCCCCAACUGUAACGACCACAACCACCCCAUCCCCUUGGUUACACACAAAUAUCACCAGUCUUUACAUGUACUUUACUGACUUCUCAGAUAAUACCCUCCAACAAGAUAACUGCAGGACUUGCCACCAUGACCUGAGAAAUACACCAAGAUAUUAUUGUCCAA
Molecule: long non-coding RNA, 917 nt
Organism: Homo sapiens (human)
Lineage: Eukaryota; Metazoa; Chordata; Mammalia; Primates; Hominidae
Gene: LYRM4-AS1
Product: LYRM4 antisense RNA 1
Source: Ensembl